RNAcentral lists this long non-coding RNA (467 nucleotides) under Bos taurus (domestic cattle). RNAcentral's name for it is "long non-coding RNA NONBTAT018799". Lineage: Eukaryota; Metazoa; Chordata; Mammalia; Artiodactyla; Bovidae. The record is from RNAcentral.
AUAAUCCAGGAAUUCUACUGAAUACAACUGACAGGAAAAAAAUGACUAAAUGCCUUUAAGAAAUCAGACUUCAGGGGAAAGAAGCAUGUAGAUAAAUGAUCAUAAUAAUAAAUAGCGGGUCAUAUGCCAUAGGAGAGUUAAGUAUCAGAUGCUUUAAGAGAAUAAGCAACUAAGGGAAUUGGAAGAGGUGAUGUUUGAGAAGGUGUGUGUGGGUCAUGGGGCUCCUGAAGAUAAACUCACGUGUUUGUUAAAACCUUGCUAAAGUUUAUUAAAGCUUGUCAAAGAAGAUUCUGAUUUGCUGAGACUGCUUUAAAACAUCUGACUCAAGACAAAUGAAGCAUGGUGAUGGUGGCCUUUUCAGGAGUGGGUGGGCUGUUUUAUUACUAAGAGUUGAGUGACAGGCUUCCCAGCAGACUCGAAAGACAGGUAAAAUUUUAAAAAGGAACAUAAAAUUUUUCAAGGCACUC